UCAUUUCCUGAACAAACCACUGGUCGC
This 27-nucleotide non-coding RNA is filed under the name Rattus norvegicus (Norway rat). Lineage: Eukaryota; Metazoa; Chordata; Mammalia; Rodentia; Muridae. The record is from RNAcentral.